Molecule: transfer RNA, 74 nt
Filed under: Anaerolineae bacterium
Lineage: Bacteria; Bacillati; Chloroflexota; Anaerolineae
Also listed under: 1 other name
Description: tRNA-Arg
Rfam family: tRNA
About the family: Transfer RNA (tRNA) molecules are approximately 80 nucleotides in length. Their secondary structure includes four short double-helical elements and three loops (D, anti-codon, and T loops). Further hydrogen bonds mediate the characteristic L-shaped molecular structure. tRNAs have two regions of fundamental functional importance: the anti-codon, which is responsible for specific mRNA codon recognition, and the 3' end, to which the tRNAs corresponding amino acid is attached (by aminoacyl-tRNA synthetases). tRNAs cope with the degeneracy of the genetic code in two manners: having more than one tRNA (with a specific anti-codon) for a particular amino acid; and 'wobble' base-pairing, i.e. permitting non-standard base-pairing at the 3rd anti-codon position.
Source: RNAcentral
GCCCCCGUAGCUCAGUGGAACAGAGCACCGGACUUCUAAUCCGAUGGUCGCAGGUUCGAAUCCUGCCGGGGGUG